RNAcentral lists this ribosomal RNA (400 nucleotides) under uncultured bacterium. RNAcentral describes it as "bacterial SSU rRNA". It matches the Rfam family "Bacterial small subunit ribosomal RNA", at positions 356 to 773 of the family's 1533-position model. The record is from RNAcentral.
GGGGAAUAUUGGACAAUGGGCGAAAGCCUGAUCCAGCCAUGCCGCGUGAGUGAUGAAGGCCCUAGGGUUGUAAAGCUCUUUCACCGGUGAAGAUAAUGACGGUAGCCGGAGAAGAAGCCCCGGCUAACUUCGUGCCAGCAGCCGCGGUAAUACGAAGGGGGCUAGCGUUGUUCGGAAUUACUGGGCGUAAAGCGCACGUAGGCGGAUUGUUUAGUGAGGGGUGAAAUCCCAGGGCUCAACCCUGGAACUGCCUCUUAUACUGGCAAUCUCGAGUCCGAGAGAGGUGAGUGGAAUUCCGAGUGUAGAGGUGAAAUUCGUAGAUAUUCGGAGGAACACCAGUGGCGAAGGCGGCUCACUGGCUCGGUACUGACGCUGAGGUGCGAAAGCGUGGGGAGCAAAC